AUCGGAGUCACCCAGGGAUCUUGUUAAAAAUGCAAUUUCGGAUUCAGUAGGUCUGGGGAGGGCCUGCGAUUUUGCAUUCCUAACAAGUUCUCAGGAGGUGCCAAG
This 105-nucleotide microRNA precursor is filed under the name Marmota monax (woodchuck). Lineage: Eukaryota; Metazoa; Chordata; Mammalia; Rodentia; Sciuridae. The record is from RNAcentral.